This 403-nucleotide ribosomal RNA is filed under the name Verrucomicrobiota bacterium. RNAcentral's name for it is "Verrucomicrobia bacterium partial 16S ribosomal RNA". It matches the Rfam family "Bacterial small subunit ribosomal RNA", at positions 355 to 776 of the family's 1533-position model. Lineage: Bacteria; Pseudomonadati; Verrucomicrobiota. The record is from RNAcentral.
UGGGGAAUAUUGCACAAUGGGGGAAACCCUGAUGCAGCGACGCCGCGUGAGCGAAGAAGGUUUUCGAAUCGUAAAGCUCUGUCCUAUGAGAAGAUAAUGACGGUAUCAUAGGAGGAAGCCCCGGCUAAAUACGUGCCAGCAGCCGCGGUAAUACGUAUGGGGCGAGCGUUGUCCGGAAUUAUUGGGCGUAAAGGGUACGUAGGCGGUCUAUUAAGUCAGGUGUGAAAGCGUGAGGCUUAACCUCAUUAAGCACUUGAAACUGAUAGACUUAAGUGAAGGAAAGGAAAGUAGAAUUCCUAGUGUAGCGGUGAAAUGCGUAGAUAUUAGGAGGAAUACCGGUGGCGAAGGCGACUAUCUGGACUUUUACUGACGCUCAGGUACGAAAGCGUGGGGAGCAAACAGG